CAACACCAACAAGAAGAAGAAGUUUAGUUUCACUCCGCUCUCUGUUGUUUUAUCGUGAUGCUGGCUUAAUACAAACUGUUAGAAAUGUUGUUUCUGUAAACAGAGAAAUACAGUUUUUGAAUCAGGUCAAUAAAUACA
Sinocyclocheilus anshuiensis is the source of this 138-nucleotide long non-coding RNA. RefSeq lists it as uncharacterized. The transcript is spliced from 3 exons. NCBI's taxonomy places the organism in Eukaryota, Metazoa, Chordata, Actinopteri, Cypriniformes, Cyprinidae. The record is from RefSeq and is a predicted model, not a curated record.